UACGAAGGGGGCUAGCGUUGCUCGGAAUCACUGGGCGUAAAGGGUGCGUAGGCGGGCAUUUAAGUCAGUGGUGAAAUACCUGAGCUUAACUUGGGAACUGCCAUUGAUACUAUUUGUCUUGAAUGUCGUGGAGGUUAGCGGAAUAUGUCAUGUAGCGGUGAAAUGCUUAGAUAUGACAUAGAACACCUAUUGCGAAGGCAGCUAACUACGCGAAUAUUGACGCUGAGGCACGAAAGCGUGGGGAUCAAACAGG
Molecule: ribosomal RNA, 253 nt
Filed under: uncultured bacterium
Lineage: Bacteria
Description: partial 16S ribosomal RNA
Rfam family: Bacterial small subunit ribosomal RNA
Source: RNAcentral